RNAcentral lists this ribosomal RNA (433 nucleotides) under uncultured bacterium. RNAcentral describes it as "partial 16S ribosomal RNA". It matches the Rfam family "Bacterial small subunit ribosomal RNA", at positions 29 to 507 of the family's 1533-position model. The record is from RNAcentral.
AACGAACGCUGGCGGCAUGUCUAACACAUGCAAGUCGAACGAGACCUUCGGGUCUAGUGGCGCACGGGUGCGUAACGCGUGGGAACCUGCCCUUAGGUUCGGAAUAACUCCCCGAAAGGGGUGCUAAUACCGGAUAAUGUCUUCGGACCAAAGAUUUAUCGCCUUUGGAUGGGCCCGCGUUGGAUUAGCUAGUUGGUAGGGUAAAAGCCUACCAAGGCGACGAUCCAUAGCUGGUCUGAGAGGAUGAUCAGCCACACUGGGACUGAGACACGGCCCAGACUCCUACGGGAGGCAGCAGUGGGGAAUAUUGGACGAUGGGCGAAAGCCUGAUCCAGCAAUGCCGCGUGAGUGAUGAAGGCCUUAGGGUUGUAAAGCUCUUUUACCCGGGAUGAUAAUGACAGUACCGGGAGAAUAAGCUCCGGCUAACUCCGUG